AUGCUUUCUCAUGCUGCCAGGCUUGAAUUGAUUCGCUCGGUUUUCUCUGCAAUUCCAGUUUAUUAUAUGGCUAACAUCUUGUUCACAAAGAAAUUCAUUGCUAAGCUUACUGCUAUCAUUAGGAACUUUUGGUGGACAGGUGUUCGGGAGAAUGAUUCUAAAAAGAGUAUUUGUCUUAGAGCAUGCAAGGAUAUUUGCAAUUCUAAAGAAGGUGGUCUAGGCAUUAGGAAUUUAAAGGCUAUCAAUGAGAGUCUUCUUCUUGCUGCUGCUUGGAGGAUAGCCAAAUCCCCUUCUUCUCACUUGUACUUAGUGCUUAAGGCUAAGUACUUUCAUGAUUCUUCUAUUUGGACUGCUAAUGUUUCUUCUCCUAAAUCAGCUUUCUGGACUUCUAUUUUGAAAAUGUUACCUAAAUUGAAAGCUCAUUCUUUUUAUCAAUUAACUCAAGGUAAUAUUUCAAUUUGGAGCACACCUUGGUGCACUCUUUGGAACUCCAUCCGUGGUCACCUUAUUACACAAGAACCUGGCUUUAGAUAUCCCUUUUUAGUUACAGAUCUUUGGCUCCCCGGACAAAAAGUUUGGAAUAAUGAGCUAGUUUACUUACUUUUCCAACAACCUAUGGCCUCUGUUAUUGUCCAAACUGAUAUUAUUGAUGAUGAUGGUCCAGAUUUGCUUUAUUGGGAUCUCACUCCUGAUGGCAUUUGUUCUUCCAAAUCUGCUUAUAAGCUUUGUUUGCAGGAAAUUCAUGCUAAUCCCAGGAAUGCGCCUUCUGUACUAUCUUUGGAAUUGAAGGACCUUCUCAAAUUGGUUUGGAAACAAAAGAACUUGCUUCCUAGGGUGCAAACCUUUGCCUGGAGAUUGCUUAGGAAGGCUUUACCUACAGGUUUGCGUGCUGGUCAUUUUUCCAUCCAUAUCUCUCAAAAUUGUUGUAGGUGUGGCCAGCAGGAGAAUGAACUUCAUUAA
This 960-nucleotide ribosomal RNA is filed under the name Triticum aestivum (bread wheat). RNAcentral's name for it is "partial small subunit ribosomal RNA". Lineage: Eukaryota; Viridiplantae; Streptophyta; Magnoliopsida; Poales; Poaceae. The record is from RNAcentral.